Molecule: small nucleolar RNA, 92 nt
Organism: Athene cunicularia (burrowing owl)
Lineage: Eukaryota; Metazoa; Chordata; Aves; Strigiformes; Strigidae
Product: small nucleolar RNA SNORD103/SNORD85
Exons: 1
Source: RefSeq, a predicted model, not a curated record
GCUGGCGAUGAUGACACACUUGCCCUCACUGAGAUCCUUUGCGAGGAUUGUUGUUGAGAACAUCCUCUGUGCUCAUGGUGUACUGAGCCUCC